CAGUGGGGAAUAUUGCACAAUGGGCGCAAGCCUGAUGCAGCCAUGCCGCGUGUAUGAAGAAGGCCUUCGGGUUGUAAAGUACUUUCAGCGAGGAGGAAGGUGUUGUGGUUAAUAACCACAGCAAUUGACGUUACUCGCAGAAGAAGCACCGGCUAACUCCGUGCCAGCAGCCGCGGUAAUACGGAGGGUGCAAGCGUUAAUCGGAAUUACUGGGCGUAAAGCGCACGCAGGCGGUUUGUUAAGUCAGAUGUGAAAUCCCCGGGCUCAACCUGGGAACUGCAUUUGAAACUGGCAAGCUUGAGUCUCGUAGAGGGGGGUAGAAUUCCAGGUGUAGCGGUGAAAUGCGUAGAGAUCUGGAGGAAUACCGGUGGCGAAGGCGGCCCCCUGGACGAAGACUGACGCUCA
RNAcentral lists this ribosomal RNA (405 nucleotides) under Pseudocitrobacter faecalis. Its description in RNAcentral is "bacterial SSU rRNA". It matches the Rfam family "Bacterial small subunit ribosomal RNA", at positions 352 to 749 of the family's 1533-position model. The record is from RNAcentral. Lineage: Bacteria; Pseudomonadati; Pseudomonadota; Gammaproteobacteria; Enterobacterales; Enterobacteriaceae.